AGGGUUUGAUUAUGGCUCAGGAUGAACGCUAGCGGCAGGCCUAAUACAUGCAAGUCGAGGGGCAGCACGAGUACUUGUACUUGGUGGCGACCGGCGCACGGGGGCGUAACGCGCAACCUACCCUUAACUGGAGGAUAGCCCGAAGAAAUUCGGAUUAAUACUCCAUAGCAUCACCAGAUGGCAUCUGAAGGUGAUUAAAGAUUUAUUGGUUAAGGAUGGGCAUGCGUGACAUUAGCUAGUUGGUGAGGUAACGGCUCACCAAGGCAACGAUGUCUAGGGGUUCUGAGAGGAUGAUCCCCCACACUGGUACUGAGAUACGGACCAGACUCCUACGGGAGGCAGCAGUAGGGAAUAUUGGUCAAUGGAUGAGAGUCUGAACCAGCCAUGCCGCGUGCAGGAAGAAAGCCUUAUGGGUUGUAAACUGCUUUUGACAGGGAAGAAAACGGCUAUGCGUAGCUAACUGACGGUACCUGUAGAAUAAGCACCGGCUAACUCCGUGCCAGCAGGCCCGGUAAUACGGAGGGUGCAAGCGUUGUCCGGAUUUAUUGGGUUUAAAGGGUGCGUAGGUGGCUUUUUAAGUCAGUGGUGAAAUUUCAGGGCUCAACUUUGAAACUGCCAUUGAUACUGGAAAGCUUGAGUAUUGUUGAGGCAGGCGGAAUUUAUGAUGUAGCGGUGAAAUGCAUAGAUAUCAUAAAGAACCCCGAUAGCGAAGGCAGCUUGCUAAUCGAUAACUGACACUAAUGCACGAAAGCGUGGGUAGCGAACAGGAUUAGAUACCCUGGUAGUCCACGCUGUAAACGAUGUUCACUCGUUGUUGGCAAUACAUCGUCAGCGACUAAGCGAAAGUGAUAAGUGAACCACCUGGGGAGUACGAUCGCAAGGUUGAAACUCAAAGGAAUUGACGGGGGCCCGCACAAGCGGAGGAGCAUGUGGUUUAAUUCGAUGAUACGCGAGGAACCUUACCUGGGCUUAAAUGUAGGUUGCAUAGAUUGGAAGAGAUUUGAUUUUCUUCGGACAAUUUACAAGGUGCUGCAUGGUUGUCGUCAGCUCGUGCCGUGAGGUGUCGGGUUAAGUCCCAUAACGAGCGCAACCCUUACCGUUAGUUGCCAUCAGGUCAAGCUGGGGACUCUAGCGGAACUGCCUGCGCAAGCAGAGAGGAAGGUGGGGAUGACGUCAAAUCAGCACGGCCCUUACGUCCAGGGCUACACACGUGCCACAAUGGCCGGUACAGAGGGCAGCCACCUGGUGACAGGGAGCGAAUCUCAAAAGCCGGUCUCAGUUCGGAUCGAAGUCUGCAACCCGACUUCGUGAAGCUGGAAUCGCUAGUAAUCGCGCAUCAGCCAUGGCGCGGUGAAUACGUUCCCGGGCCUUGUACACACCGCCCGUCAAGCCAUGGAAGCUGGGGGUGCCUAAAGUUCGUAACCGCAAGGAGCGACCUAGGGCAAAACUGGUGACUGGGGCUAAGUCGUAACAAGGUAACC
Molecule: ribosomal RNA, 1481 nt
Filed under: uncultured prokaryote
Description: partial 16S ribosomal RNA
Rfam family: Bacterial small subunit ribosomal RNA
Source: RNAcentral